CAAAGGUUUGGUCCUAGCCUUACUAUCAUCUACCCCUCAACUUACACAUGCAAGUCUCAGCGCACCCGUGAGGACGCCCUUUCAACCUUAACCUAGGCCAAGGAGCUGGUAUCAGGCACAAACCUUUGCCCACAACACCUAGUCUAACCACACCCCCAAGGGUUUUCAGCAGUGAUAAACAUUAUCAAUAAGCGACAGCUAGAAUCAGUUACAGGACUCAGAGCCGGCCAAUUUGGUGCCAGCCGCCGCGGCUAUACCUACAGGCUCAAGUUGAUAGUCAUCGGCGUUAAGCGUGAUUAAAGUAUCCCCCCAUUAGAGUUAAACUCCUGAUUAGCUGUGACAAGCUUUUUGGUUGGAAAAACAAAAACGAAAGUUACUCUAUCUGCACACUUGAACCCACGACAGUUAGGAAACAAACUGGGAUUAGAUACCCCACUAUGCCUGACCGUAAAAUAUCUUACCCACACCCAUAAACGCCCGGGAAUUACGAGUAAACUUAAAACCCAAAGGACUUGACGGUGUCCCAUUCCCCCUAGAGGAGCCUGUUCUAUAAUCGAUAACCCCCGCUCUACCUCACCACUUUUUGCUUAUUCAGCCUGUAUACCUCCGUCGUAAGCUUGCCCUGUGAACGUCUAUCGAGCAAGCCCAAGGGCCUUACCACCAACACGUCAGGUCAAGGUGCAGUCCAUGAAGUGGGAAGCAAUGGGCUACAAUUUCUAAGCUAGAACAAACGAAAUACUGCAUGAAACACAGUCAUGAAGGUGGAUUUAGUAGUAAAAAAGAAUUAGCGAGUCUUUUUUAAUCCGGCCCUGGGACGUGUACACACCGCCCGUCACCCUCUUCAAUAGUAACCCAAUUAGUUUAUAACACUUUUUCACGCCUUAGAAGAGGUAAGUCGUAACAUGGUAAGCGUACUGGAAAGUGCGCUUGGACAAAC
RNAcentral lists this non-coding RNA (937 nucleotides) under Indirana semipalmata. Its description in RNAcentral is "12S ribosomal RNA". It matches the Rfam family "Bacterial small subunit ribosomal RNA". Lineage: Eukaryota; Metazoa; Chordata; Amphibia; Anura; Ranixalidae. The record is from RNAcentral.